UGAACCCUAUGGGAGGCAGCAGUGGGGAAUAUUGGGCAAUGGGCGCAAGCCUGACCCAGCAACGCCGCGUGAAGGAAGAAGGCUUUCGGGUUGUAAACUUCUUUUCUCAGGGACGAAGCAGGUGACGGUACCUGAGGAAUAAGCCACGGCUAACUACGUGCCAGCAGCCGCGGUAAUACGUAGGUGGCAAGCGUUAUCCGGAUUUACUGGGUGUAAAGGGCGUGUAGGCGGGAAAGCAAGUCAGAUGUGAAAAACAUGGGCUCAAC
Molecule: ribosomal RNA, 266 nt
Filed under: uncultured bacterium
Lineage: Bacteria
Description: partial 16S ribosomal RNA
Rfam family: Bacterial small subunit ribosomal RNA
Source: RNAcentral